Molecule: transfer RNA, 66 nt
Filed under: Steromphala umbilicaris
Lineage: Eukaryota; Metazoa; Mollusca; Gastropoda; Trochida; Trochidae
Description: tRNA-Glu
Rfam family: tRNA
About the family: Transfer RNA (tRNA) molecules are approximately 80 nucleotides in length.
Source: RNAcentral
GUUUUUAAGGUGUAAAUAGCACGUUAGAUUUUCAUUCUAAAGGUGUAGAUUUAUCUACUGAAAAUA